Molecule: RNase P RNA, 364 nt
Filed under: Lactobacillus sp.
Lineage: Bacteria; Bacillati; Bacillota; Bacilli; Lactobacillales; Lactobacillaceae
Description: RNase P RNA component class B
Rfam family: Bacterial RNase P class B
About the family: Ribonuclease P (RNase P) is a ubiquitous endoribonuclease, found in archaea, bacteria and eukarya as well as chloroplasts and mitochondria. Its best characterised activity is the generation of mature 5'-ends of tRNAs by cleaving the 5'-leader elements of precursor-tRNAs. Cellular RNase Ps are ribonucleoproteins.
Source: RNAcentral
GAUUUCGAGCAGUCGCGGUUAACUUAUGUUAGCUGAGGAAAGUCCACGCACACACAAGCUGCGAUGCUUGUAGUGAUCGUAUUCAGCCCAAUAAGCUGGAGGAUCUUUUUACUAAGAUAACGGCGGAGAAAGCGCUAAGUCAUUGAUAUGCGUUAAUAUCCUUGAAAGUGCCACAGUGACGUAGCAAGAUUGGAAACGAUCUUGGUGGAACGAGGUAAACCCUGCGAGUGUGCAACCCAAAUUUGGUGGGGGCGUUUCGAUCUAAGAAAAUGAACUAAAGAUCGGAUUAUGUUAAAACAUAAAGAUAGAUGGCUGCUGAAGGUGAUUUUGCCAGAAUCAUUGGAACAAAACGUGGCUUAUAGAA